Molecule: ribosomal RNA, 953 nt
Filed under: Acinetobacter baumannii OIFC087
Lineage: Bacteria; Pseudomonadati; Pseudomonadota; Gammaproteobacteria; Moraxellales; Moraxellaceae
Description: bacterial SSU rRNA
Rfam family: Bacterial small subunit ribosomal RNA
Source: RNAcentral
AGAGUUUGAUCAUGGCUCAGAUUGAACGCUGGCGGCAGGCUUAACACAUGCAAGUCGAGCGGGGGAAGGUAGCUUGCUACUGGACCUAGCGGCGGACGGGUGAGUAAUGCUUAGGAAUCUGCCUAUUAGUGGGGGACAACAUCUCGAAAGGGAUGCUAAUACCGCAUACGUCCUACGGGAGAAAGCAGGGGAUCUUCGGACCUUGCGCUAAUAGAUGAGCCUAAGUCGGAUUAGCUAGUUGGUGGGGUAAAGGCCUACCAAGGCGACGAUCUGUAGCGGGUCUGAGAGGAUGAUCCGCCACACUGGGACUGAGACACGGCCCAGACUCCUACGGGAGGCAGCAGUGGGGAAUAUUGGACAAUGGGGGGAACCCUGAUCCAGCCAUGCCGCGUGUGUGAAGAAGGCCUUAUGGUUGUAAAGCACUUUAAGCGAGGAGGAGGCUACUUUAGUUAAUACCUAGAGAUAGUGGACGUUACUCGCAGAAUAAGCACCGGCUAACUCUGUGCCAGCAGCCGCGGUAAUACAGAGGGUGCGAGCGUUAAUCGGAUUUACUGGGCGUAAAGCGUGCGUAGGCGGCUUAUUAAGUCGGAUGUGAAAUCCCCGAGCUUAACUUGGGAAUUGCAUUCGAUACUGGUGAGCUAGAGUAUGGGAGAGGAUGGUAGAAUUCCAGGUGUAGCGGUGAAAUGCGUAGAGAUCUGGAGGAAUACCGAUGGCGAAGGCAGCCAUCUGGCCUAAUACUGACGCUGAGGUACGAAAGCAUGGGGAGCAAACAGGAUUAGAUACCCUGGUAGUCCAUGCCGUAAACGAUGUCUACUAGCCGUUGGGGCCUUUGAGGCUUUAGUGGCGCAGCUAACGCGAUAAGUAGACCGCCUGGGGAGUACGGUCGCAAGACUAAAACUCAAAUGAAUUGACGGGGGCCCGCACAAGCGGUGGAGCAUGUGGUUUAAUUCGAU